UCGCCUCUUGUUAACCCCACAUAAGAGGUCCCGCCUGCCCUGUGACCCCUGGUUUAACGGCCGCGGUAUCCUGACCGUGCGAAGGUAGCGCAAUCACUUGUCCCUUAAAUGAGGACCUGUAUGAAUGGCAUUACGAGGGCUUAACUGUCUCCUUUCCCCGGCCAAUGAAAUUGAUCUCCCCGUGCAGAAGCGGGGAUACUAACAUAAGACGAGAAGACCCUAUGGAGCUUUAGACACCAGAACAGACCAUACCAACUGCCACCUUAACACAAGCAGUAACUAUUGAAUCCCUGUCCCCUGUCUUUGGUUGGGGCGACCACGGGGAAUAAGAAAACCCCCACGUGGACCGGGAACACACUUACUCCUAAAACCACGAGCAACCGCUCUAGAUUACAGAACUUCUGACCAAAAUAGAUCCGGCAACGCCGAUCAACGGACCCAGUUACCCUAGGGAUAACAGCGCAAUCCUCUUCAAGAGUCCAUAUCGACAAGAGGGUUUACGACCUCGAUGUUGGAUCAAGACAUCCUAGUGGUGCAGCCGCUAUUAAGGGUUCGUUUGUUCAACGAUUAAAGUCUUACGUGAUCUG
Molecule: ribosomal RNA, 587 nt
Filed under: Mugil curvidens (dwarf mullet)
Lineage: Eukaryota; Metazoa; Chordata; Actinopteri; Mugiliformes; Mugilidae
Description: partial 16S ribosomal RNA
Rfam family: Bacterial large subunit ribosomal RNA
Source: RNAcentral